Molecule: ribosomal RNA, 540 nt
Filed under: Indosylvirana montana
Lineage: Eukaryota; Metazoa; Chordata; Amphibia; Anura; Ranidae
Description: Hylarana montana partial 16S ribosomal RNA
Rfam family: Bacterial large subunit ribosomal RNA
Source: RNAcentral
AUAAGAGGUCCAGCCUGCCCAGUGACAAAAUUUAACGGCCGCGGUACCCUAACCGUGCAAAGGUAGCAUAAUCACUUGUUCCUUAAAUAGGGACUAGCAUCAAUGGCACCACGAAGACUGUACUGUCUCUUUUCUCUAAUCAGUGAAACUGAUCUCCCCGUGAAAAAGCGGGAAUAAGUUUAUAAGACGAGAAGACCCCAUGGAGCUUUAAGUAACGUAUUCACCUAGACUUUACUACACCAACUAAACAUUUAUAGCCCUGAUUACUAACCUUAGGUUGGGAGGACCGCGGAGUAUAACCAAACCUCCAUAACAAAAAGGCAGCACCUUUAUCCACGAGCUACAACUCUAAGAAUUAAAAUAUAAAUGUCCAAUGACCCGACAAUUCGAUCAAUGAACCAAGUUACCCUGGGGAUAACAGCACAAUCUGCUUAAAGAGCCCAUAUCGACAAGCAGGUUUAUGACCUCGAUGUUGGAUCAGGGUAUCCCAGUGGUGCAGCCGCUACUACAGGUUUGUUUGUUCAACAAUUAAAACCCUAC